GACGAACGCUGGCGGCGCGCUUAACACAUGCAAGUCGAGCGAUGAAAUCUUAACAGAACCCUUCGGGGUGAAGAUAAGACGGAUUAGCGGCGGACGGGUGAGUAACACGUGAGUAACCUGCCUUUUACACAGGGAUAGCCUCAGGAAACCGGGAUUAAAACCUGAUGAAACUAUCAAAACACAUGAUUAAGAAAGUUAAAACUCCGGUGGUAAAAGAUGGACUCGCGUCCCAUUAGCUAGUUGGUGAAGGUAACGGCCCACCAAGGCAACGAUGGGUAGCCGGCCUGAGAGGGUGAACGGCCACAUUGGAACUGAGAAACGGUCCAAACUCCUACGGGAGGCAGCAGUGGGGAAUAUUGCACAAUGGGGGAAACCCUGAUGCAGCGACGCCGCGUGAGCGAAGAAGGCCUUCGGGUCGUAAAGCUCUUUUAUAUGGGAAGAUAAUGACGGUACCAUAAGAAAAAGCCCCGGCUAACUACGUG
Molecule: ribosomal RNA, 482 nt
Filed under: uncultured bacterium
Lineage: Bacteria
Description: partial 16S ribosomal RNA
Rfam family: Bacterial small subunit ribosomal RNA
Source: RNAcentral